This 872-nucleotide ribosomal RNA is filed under the name Halomonas sp. SH03. Its description in RNAcentral is "bacterial SSU rRNA". It matches the Rfam family "Bacterial small subunit ribosomal RNA", at positions 149 to 1022 of the family's 1533-position model. The record is from RNAcentral. Lineage: Bacteria; Pseudomonadati; Pseudomonadota; Gammaproteobacteria; Oceanospirillales; Halomonadaceae.
UGGGGAAACCCAGGCUAAUACCGCAUACGUCCUACGGGAGAAAGGGGGCUCCGGCUCCGCUAUUGGAUGAGCCUAUGUCGGAUUAGCUAGUUGGUGAGGUAAAGGCUCACCAAGGCGACGAUCCGUAGCUGGUCUGAGAGGAUGAUCAGCCACAUCGGGACUGAGACACGGCCCGAACUCCUACGGGAGGCAGCAGUGGGGAAUAUUGGACAAUGGGCGAAAGCCUGAUCCAGCCAUGCCGCGUGUGUGAAGAAGGCCCUCGGGUUGUAAAGCACUUUCAGCGAGGAAGAACGCCUAGUGGUUAAUACCCAUUAGGAAAGACAUCACUCGCAGAAGAAGCACCGGCUAACUCCGUGCCAGCAGCCGCGGUAAUACGGAGGGUGCAAGCGUUAAUCGGAAUUACUGGGCGUAAAGCGCGCGUAGGUGGCUUGAUAAGCCGGUUGUGAAAGCCCCGGGCUCAACCUGGGAACGGCAUCCGGAACUGUCAAGCUAGAGUGCAGGAGAGGAAGGUAGAAUUCCCGGUGUAGCGGUGAAAUGCGUAGAGAUCGGGAGGAAUACCAGUGGCGAAGGCGGCCUUCUGGACUGACACUGACACUGAGGUGCGAAAGCGUGGGUAGCAAACAGGAUUAGAUACCCUGGUAGUCCACGCCGUAAACGAUGUGCGACCAGCCGUUGGGUGCCUAGCGCACUUUGUGGCGAAGUUAACGCGAUAAGUCGACCGCCUGGGGAGUACGGCCGCAAGGUUAAAACUCAAAUGAAUUGACGGGGGCCCGCACAAGCGGUGGAGCAUGUGGUUUAAUUCUAUGCAACGCGAAGAACCCUACCUACUCUUGACAUCCUGCGAACUUGUGAGAGAUCACUUGGUGCCUUCG